AUGAAGAACAUCGGCAAAGGACUGUUGGGAGGCAACAAGGUGUUGAUAUGCUUGUGGGCCUUGUGGCUGGUGACGCUGCUUGUCUUGUCAUCUGAAAAGAUGGGAUCGGAUGCCUGUGAUAGACAAGUUAGCAAGACAUGGCCCAACACAACAUGUAUCGUUCGCGGCACCUGCAACAAGUACUGCAGAAGGGAGAACUUUGACCGCGGCAUCUGCAAAGAACUAAAUUAUUGCUUCUGCUACAGGAACUGCACCACUGAAUCCAUCUAG
This 270-nucleotide ribosomal RNA is filed under the name Triticum aestivum (bread wheat). RNAcentral describes it as "partial small subunit ribosomal RNA". Lineage: Eukaryota; Viridiplantae; Streptophyta; Magnoliopsida; Poales; Poaceae. The record is from RNAcentral.